This 253-nucleotide ribosomal RNA is filed under the name uncultured bacterium. RNAcentral describes it as "partial 16S ribosomal RNA". It matches the Rfam family "Bacterial small subunit ribosomal RNA", at positions 524 to 776 of the family's 1533-position model. The record is from RNAcentral.
UACAGAGGUGGCAAGCGUUGUUCGGAAUUACUGGGCGUAAAGGGCGCGUAGGCGGCCUUCUAAGUCAGACGUGAAAUCCCCCGGCUUAACCUGGGAACUGCGUCUGAUACUGGAGGGCUUGAGUGCGGGAGAGGGAUGUGGAAUUCCAGGUGUAGCGGUGAAAUGCGUAGAUAUCUGGAGGAACACCGGUGGCGAAGGCGGCAUCCUGGACCGACACUGACGCUGAGGCGCGAAAGCUAGGGUAGCAGACGGG